UGCCCUUCUUCCUGCCUCUGAUAGACC
Molecule: non-coding RNA, 27 nt
Filed under: Mus musculus (house mouse)
Lineage: Eukaryota; Metazoa; Chordata; Mammalia; Rodentia; Muridae
Source: RNAcentral